AUUACUGGUUCAGAAAGAGAUGAAAUACUUGAGCGUUUGUUUCCUGAUUCUGUUCCUGGUAGCGGUCUCUCUGGCCAUAAAGAAUUAACUGAAGAUUCUCUCACUUGUGAAUUAAAAUCAGCUCCUCCUAAUAGUCUCACAAUGCAUCUAGCCAAAGCUUUCUGUAACA
Amphimedon queenslandica is the source of this 169-nucleotide long non-coding RNA. RefSeq lists it as uncharacterized. The transcript is spliced from 3 exons. The record is from RefSeq and is a predicted model, not a curated record. Lineage: Eukaryota; Metazoa; Porifera; Demospongiae; Haplosclerida; Niphatidae.